UGUGGGGGUACCGUCCUGUAGGCAGGGCUGUGUGUGCCCCCGUGUGUGCUUGGUGAGCUGCGUUCUGAGAGACCCCCUGUACUCAGGUGGGAAUGUGGCCCCGGCCUUUCAGAGGCGCGGGGCCGUGAGAUGCGGGGUGGGGCUUGCGCCCUCCCUGGAAUCGGGGCUGGGAUCCCGACUGCGGCCUUUGGCCGUGCCGCCCCGCUGCCUGGCUGCUGAGAGUUGCUCCUGCCGCUGGGGGGGAAACCGAGCUCUGUGGCUCCAGGGGUGUUGUCCACCCGCCUGUAAUCAGGGUCUGGGUGCGUGAGCGUUUGUGCUCUGCUGGCAGCCUGUGUGGGGUGACCGCCCCGCUAGCGGGGUGUGGGUCGAGGUGCCCCGGACUGGGAGAGAAGGAGCCUCCCUCGGCCGUAGGGAUGGGGGCUGCCCUGUAAGUCAGGGAGCAUCUGUGUCCCGGAGUCCCAGGCCCUUUUCAAUGGCGGCAGUGGCCGGGGGUCCCCUGUAAGCAGGGAAGCUGACUCUUUGGCUGCUGCUUUUUGUGUGCCCAGCCCCAUUUGCCCAGUCUGCCCGCCUCUGUGAUCCCCCGCAGCACUGGCUGGAAGUCCGCCGCGUGUCAGUGAGGAGCUGCUGCAGAAGGAAGAAGAAGCAGCGGCGUGGGGACCUGGGAGGCAGGAGCAAGCAAGAAGAGGAAGCGGAAGCGUGCAGAUGCGGGGGGGAAGGAGAGAGGCUCCCUGGGCAAAGCACCUGUCCCGUUAGCAGGGGCACAGUCACGUUUGAGUUGAGAGCUGCCGGCGCCUUUGGUGACCAGGCUGGCGUUGUGCUGGGUGACCUCCCCGUAAGCGGGGCUCGGGUCUUUGCUGUAGUUGGCCUUUUGCCUUGC
This 877-nucleotide long non-coding RNA is filed under the name Gallus gallus (chicken). The record is from RNAcentral. Lineage: Eukaryota; Metazoa; Chordata; Aves; Galliformes; Phasianidae.